Molecule: long non-coding RNA, 310 nt
Organism: Oreochromis niloticus (Nile tilapia)
Lineage: Eukaryota; Metazoa; Chordata; Actinopteri; Cichliformes; Cichlidae
Exons: 2
Source: RefSeq, a predicted model, not a curated record
GGAAAGAGGGGAACGUGAGGAGAAAAUACAAGGUCAGGAAGAACCAGACUGGUGGGAUGAAUGGAGGGGUUGAUGAUCACUACCUGGAGAUUUACAGUCAAAGACUAGAGAAAUUGAUAGAGGAUGACAGGAUGGGUGACACAUGAUAAAGUACAGGGUGAAAUCUGAAAAAGACUUCAGAAUUAAACAGCAUAAGGCACCAACCAUAACUGCCUGCUUAUAAAGCCAAUAGAGAAGUGUAUUGCACAAAUUAUUUUUACUUGCCAGCAGUGGUGCCUCUACAUGCAAAACAAACUAGCAAACCAAAAAA